RNAcentral lists this long non-coding RNA (295 nucleotides) under Homo sapiens (human). RNAcentral describes it as "non-protein coding lnc-GLB1L2-1:10". The record is from RNAcentral. Lineage: Eukaryota; Metazoa; Chordata; Mammalia; Primates; Hominidae.
UCUCUCAUCUGUGUUUUCAGGGCAUGGACUGGAACUCCCAAUACCCCUGACAUGGGCUGAGUCAACGUGGUCAUGAACAUGUGACAGGAGGCAGCAGAAGUUGCAGAGAAGAGUGAGGCACGUUUGAAAAAGGCUGAAAAAUGUUUCUGUCCAGGCAAGGGUGUGUGCUGAAUGACUCAAGGAUUUUUUGGUGCAUUGAAUGAACAGCGGGACAUUGGACACCUGCUGAUCCAUCACCCCGGGCCCGGGCAGGCCCGUGGAUGAAGAGAGAUGGAGAAGACCAGGCAUGAGACUG